GACGAACGCUGGCGGCGUGCUUAACACAUGCAAGUCGAACGGAAAGGCCCUGCUUUUGUGGGGUGCUCGUGUGGCGAACGAGUGAGUAACACGUGAGUAACCUGCCCUUGACUUUGGGAUAACUUCAGGAAACUGGGGCUAAUACCGGAUAGGAGCUCCUGCUGCAUGGUGGGGGUUGGAAAGUUUCGGCGGUUGGGGAUGGACUCGCGGCUUAUCAGCUUGUUGGUGGGGUAGUGGCUUACCAAGGCUUUGACGGGUAGCCGGCCUGAGAGGGUGACCGGCCACAUUGGGACUGAGAUACGGCCCAGACUCCUACGGGAGGCAGCAGUGGGGAAUAUUGCACAAUGGGCGGAAGCCUGAUGCAGCAACGCCGCGUGCGGGAUGACGGCCUUCGGGUUGUAAACCGCUUUCGCCUGUGACGAAGCGUGAGUGACGGUAAUGGGUAAAGAAGCACCGGCUAACUACGUG
Molecule: ribosomal RNA, 468 nt
Filed under: uncultured bacterium
Lineage: Bacteria
Description: partial 16S ribosomal RNA
Rfam family: Bacterial small subunit ribosomal RNA
Source: RNAcentral